Molecule: ribosomal RNA, 497 nt
Filed under: uncultured bacterium
Lineage: Bacteria
Description: partial 16S ribosomal RNA
Rfam family: Bacterial small subunit ribosomal RNA
Source: RNAcentral
GAUGAACGCUGGCGGCGUGCCUAAUACAUGCAAGUCGAGCGAACAGACGAGGAGCUUGCUCCUCUGAUGUUAGCGGCGGACGGGUGAGUAACACGUGGAUAACCUACCUAUAAGACUGGGAUAACCUCGGGAAACCGGAGCUAAUACCGGAUAACAUGUUGAACCGCAUGGUUCAACAGUGAAAGACGGUCCUGCUGUCACUUAUAGAUGGAUCCGCGCCGCAUUAGCUAGUUGGUAAGGUAACGGCUUACCAAGGCAACGAUGCGUAGCCGACCUGAGAGGGUGAUCGGCCACACUGGAACUGAGACACGGUCCAGACUCCUACGGGAGGCAGCAGUAGGGAAUCUUCCGCAAUGGGCGAAAGCCUGACGGAGCAACGCCGCGUGAGUGAAGAAGGUCUUCGGAUCGUAAAACUCUGUUAUUAGGGAAGAACAAAUGUGUAAGUAACUAUGCACGUCUUGACGGUACCUAAUCAGAAAGCCACGGCUAACUACGUG